This is a long non-coding RNA of Esox lucius (northern pike), 1443 nucleotides long. RefSeq lists it as uncharacterized. The transcript has 2 exons. The record is from RefSeq and is a predicted model, not a curated record. Lineage: Eukaryota; Metazoa; Chordata; Actinopteri; Esociformes; Esocidae.
UUCAUGUGGCGCAGGUCCGGCUAUUUCCGAUCUCCAACGAUCAGCUCCGGUAUUGAGAAGAUUGCCAAUUCUUACGUUGUGUAUUCUAACGGAGGGCCUACAUCUGCACCCUUCAUUUCUGGCAUUCUCAUCAUGUUGGACAUAUUAGUUUUGAUGUUUUUCGCAAUCAUGGGACUUGUUUUUCUGUCUUACAUCAUUUACAUGUUAUGAUGUGCGUCCGGAUUCCGGACGAAACCGGAGGCCGGGAAGGGAAAUAAAAAGAUGCGUUUUGCGCCUUCUGUAUUCUCGCUAUCCAUCUCUAAGAAUGAAACAUCUAUUUCACGUGGAGGAGAAGGGGGGCAUCGCUGACAAUCUUAGGGGGACAUGAAGAUGGCCCAUCAAAAGGGGGAAGAUUCCCUACGACGGACCGGCUGGUAGCUGGAGGACUCUUCCUCACUCUUUCUGGGUCUGUUUAGAUUCAGACACCCUACUGUGACCACCCUCUUAAGAUAAUUGGGCGCCCUGUCAACAACCGCCUACUAUCCUUGUACCCUACAAUCAAGCCCUUCAGACCCCUUGAUUCAAAGGAUGUCCGUGUAUUUUGUGACCGAUUAUUUACUCUCCCCUAAAACUCACACGUUAGUAAACAUGUAUAUUUUGUGAGGAUGUAGGGAGCAAGUUUGUAUUGUAGUAGUACUGUUGUGCCUAUUUGACUACACUGUGAUGGUUAACCCUGACCCCCAAACUGUGCAGUGUGCAAUAUCUCCACGUUGGGUGCAUGUUAUUUUGAAAUCACUACACGUACCACUGUCCUAGACUGCUUUUGGCUUAAUAAAUGACUGAGAAGCCUAUUCCAAUGAUCAGGUGACUUUAUCCUGUAAAUGACCUUGGAGAGCGAUUAUCAUUUAUUUCUAGUUUGGGGAUUUACUGAUCAAUUUGAUGCUCUUGAUUGACCUCUACUUCAUAAGUGCAAAAGCAGGAACCAUGCAUGUCCCGUUACACUCAGUAACCUCGUAAGCCAGGUUGGCUCAUGUGUAAGUGCAAUAGCUAUUUGCAGCAAAUGUCCCACCUAGAUUAUAUUGAUAUGUCAAGUCAUAUCAGUGACUGUGUUUGUGUGGAGAGACUAAUGUUUCGGGUCUGAGCUCAGCUGUUUGUUAGAAGCUCUGUUUGUUGUCUUGGAAGAUAGAUGCAUUCCUUUUUGUAAUCUCCUCGUUCUUACAAUCGUUGCACUGAACUGAUAGGAUCCAAAGGUAACUGUCACAUCACUGAUUUUGUUGAACAGCAUUGCUAACUAUUAGUAUUGAUCACUAUUAGGUUGUCCACACUCGGAAUGCAUGUGUUUAUCCCUCAGAUUCACAACUGGAUAUUUUUUUCUUUGACCAACAGAAGUGUUAUGUUUACCAGUGCUAAGGCAAAUUGCUAUAUUUCUGUGCUGUCAAUGAAAUAAAGAUGUGUGCACAAGAA